AUGGAACUUGAGGGUGUCAUGCUAAGUCAAAAGCAGUGAAAGUGCCUUAACUCAUAAAAGGAAGCAAAUGGAAAUGCAAUCAGAGAAAACAUAUUCGGAGCCUUUGAAGAAAUGAGGGGCUUGACACUUCAAGGAAGAAGACAGGGUUACAACAUGACCUUGGAUGCUCUGUAAUAAUAUGGCCUCUAAUCUCUGCAGUCCAGAAACACUGACCUUGUUUUAAUUCUUUGAAAACUCCAGGAUGGUAGAGAGUAGGUUUUAUUUACUGUUUUGUUGUUAGUGCCUAG
Molecule: long non-coding RNA, 287 nt
Organism: Suricata suricatta (meerkat)
Lineage: Eukaryota; Metazoa; Chordata; Mammalia; Carnivora; Herpestidae
Exons: 3
Source: RefSeq, a predicted model, not a curated record